GGCGGCAGGCUUAACACAUGCAAGUCGAGCGGUAGCAGAUCUAGCUUGCUAGAUGCUGACGAGCGGCGGACGGGUGAGUAACGCGUAGGAACCUGCCCAGUAGUGGGGGAUAGCCCCGGGGGAAACUCGGAUUAAUACCGCAUACGCUCUACGGAGGAAAGAGGGGCUUCGGCUCUCGCUAUUGGAUGGGCCUGCGUGAGAUUAGCUAGUUGGUGAGGUAAUGGCUCACCAAGGCGACGAUCUCUAGCUGGUCUGAGAGGAUGAUCAGCCACACUGGGACUGAGACACGGCCCAGACUCCUACGGGAGGCAGCAGUGGGGAAUAUUGCACAAUGGGCGCAAGCCUGAUGCAGCCAUGCCGCGUGUGUGAAGAAGGCUUUCGGGUUGUAAAGCACUUUCAGUGGGGAGGAAGGCCUCGUAGUUAAUAGCUGCGAGGAUUGACGUUACCCACAGAAGAAGCACCGGCUAACUCCGUG
Molecule: ribosomal RNA, 475 nt
Filed under: uncultured bacterium
Lineage: Bacteria
Description: bacterial SSU rRNA
Rfam family: Bacterial small subunit ribosomal RNA
Source: RNAcentral